Molecule: ribosomal RNA, 498 nt
Filed under: uncultured bacterium
Lineage: Bacteria
Description: partial 16S ribosomal RNA
Rfam family: Bacterial small subunit ribosomal RNA
Source: RNAcentral
AUUGAACGCUGGCGGCGUGCCUUACACAUGCAAGUCGAACGGUAACGCGGGGCAACCUGGCGACGAGUGGCGAACGGGUGAGUAAUGCAUCGGAACGUGCCCAGUAGUGGGGGAUAGCCCGGCGAAAGCCGGAUUAAUACCGCAUACGACCUACGGGUGAAAGGGGGGGAUCGCAAGACCUCUCGCUAUUGGAGCGGCCGAUGUCAGAUUAGGUAGUUGGUGGGGUAAAGGCCUACCAAGCCUACGAUCUGUAGCUGGUCUGAGAGGACGACCAGCGACACUGGGACUGAGACACGGCCCAGACUCCUACGGGAGGCAGCAGUGGGGAAUUUUGGGCAAUGGGCGCAAGCCUGAUCCAGCCAUGCCGCGUGCGGGAAGAAGGCCUUCGGGUUGUAAACCGCUUUUGUCAGGGAAGAAAUCUUCUGGGCUAAUACCCUGGGAGGAUGACGGUACCUGAAGAAUAAGCACCGGCUAACUACGUGCCAGCCGCCGCCGUAA